GGAGAGGUGCCGGAGCGGCUGAUCGGGGCGGUCUCGAAAACCGUUGUGCCCUUUUGGGUACCCAGGGUUCGAAUCCCUGCCUCUCCG
Molecule: transfer RNA, 87 nt
Filed under: bacterium
Lineage: Bacteria
Description: tRNA-Ser
Rfam family: tRNA
About the family: Transfer RNA (tRNA) molecules are approximately 80 nucleotides in length.
Source: RNAcentral